UUAUCAACGAUGAAAGAGAAAGUAACUACUCAUUAAAUUUUACAGAGAAAAAAUCCUUGGCUGAGAGAUUUUAUAUUUAUGUUUAGUGAAGUUCCCUCUGGAGUUUUAGAAGUGAAAGUUAUGUGCUUUUUAAUUAACUAAUAGCUUCUAACGUUAAUCACGUUACGAUUUUAAGUGAAUACAAAUCUGUAUUAAUCUAAGGUGGUACCGCGGAACUAUUUCGUCCUUUUC
This 231-nucleotide non-coding RNA is filed under the name Acetobacterium woodii. Its description in RNAcentral is "T-box sequence". It matches the Rfam family "T-box leader". From Rfam's summary of the family: Uncharged tRNA acts as the effector for transcription antitermination of genes in the T-box leader family. Lineage: Bacteria; Bacillati; Bacillota; Clostridia; Eubacteriales; Eubacteriaceae. The record is from RNAcentral.